UCCCUAGUGGCCCAGAUGGUAAAGCUUCUAUCUGCAAUGCAGAAGACAUGGGUUCGAUCCCUAUGUUGGGAA
This 72-nucleotide transfer RNA is filed under the name Ovis aries (sheep). It matches the Rfam family "tRNA". Rfam says of the family: Transfer RNA (tRNA) molecules are approximately 80 nucleotides in length. Their secondary structure includes four short double-helical elements and three loops (D, anti-codon, and T loops). The record is from Rfam by way of RNAcentral. Lineage: Eukaryota; Metazoa; Chordata; Mammalia; Artiodactyla; Bovidae.